GGGCGGGCUGCGGCAGCUGUUAGCGCCCGACGAAGCGGGGCUGUUACCUCAGUGGGUUUUCCUCGCCUCACGAGCUGCGCGUAAAAAUAGCAUGAAAUACAUUCAGUAGCAAAGCAGUUGGAAUCCAGGAGAAGUGGAGAGCCCUGUAUUCCUGGAGGAUUAACCUCAUCGAGCCACAAAGAUGAGACUAGUUCACAGAUGUACCAUGCAUCUCAGGAGCAAUUCGAAUCCAACAAGAUAAAACAGUUGUACUAAAAAUGUUCUUUGGAGGCUUGUCCCUAAUGAAAGUAAAGGCUUCAUUUCAGAGUAAUUUUGAGAAAACAGUUUCCACGUAUAAAUAUUACUCUUCCAAAUGCCACUGCUACAAACACUAACUGGGAUGUACAGAUGGAAGGUGAAAGUCAUUUACUGCCUUUAUAUCAUUACCAAAAGUGGAUAGUUCAGCCAUUCAUUGCCUUCUGAAACUUCUUUUGAGAGGUACAAGGUAAGCCAGUUUCUAUCUAACAGUGCUACGAAAUCAUCCUGGCUAGCAAGUAGCAAACAUGAUUUUGUCACAGAAACUCAACUUCCAAAGUCAGAGAGCUGCUACACUGAGAAAGAUGACGUUCUGUCAAACCAAGUUUCAUGAAACACAGAAGCUUACUUAAUUCCCUUUUGAUAUCCUGUGAGAGCAUCGCUCCCAUUUCUCCCUCAUCCACUCACUUUCAUUGGACCCACUGACAUGACUUAAUGUACUGACUUGUCAAAGGACAGAAUGGCAGAAAAAUAUUCACACACACAGUUUUUUAAAAUUCAUCUGCAGUAAGUGCCAUACCAAGGACAGGGACACGACUGUACAAGAGGGAGUCGGGGGUAGGGUCUCUGAGCAGCAGUGAGCUGUUAUGUGAGCACGGCUGCUCAGGGAAUUACAGUCUUCAUUUUUAUU
This 925-nucleotide long non-coding RNA is filed under the name Gallus gallus (chicken). RNAcentral describes it as "long non-coding RNA NONGGAT008832". The record is from RNAcentral. Lineage: Eukaryota; Metazoa; Chordata; Aves; Galliformes; Phasianidae.